Molecule: ribosomal RNA, 423 nt
Filed under: uncultured beta proteobacterium
Lineage: Bacteria; Pseudomonadati; Pseudomonadota; Betaproteobacteria
Description: bacterial SSU rRNA
Rfam family: Bacterial small subunit ribosomal RNA
Source: RNAcentral
AACGCGAAGAACCUUACCUACCCUUGACAUGGUCGGAAUUCUGCUGAGAGGCGGAAGUGCUCGAAAGAGAGCCGAUACACAGGUGCUGCAUGGCUGUCGUCAGCUCGUGUCGUGAGAUGUUGGGUUAAGUCCCGCAACGAGCGCAACCCUUGUCAUUAGUUGCUACGAAAGGGCACUCUAAUGAGACUGCCGGUGACAAACCGGAGGAAGGUGGGGAUGACGUCAAGUCCUCAUGGCCCUUAUGGGUAGGGCUUCACACGUCAUACAAUGGUACAUACAGAGGGCCGCCAACCCGCGAGGGGGAGCUAAUCCCAGAAAGUGUAUCGUAGUCCGGAUUGUAGUCUGCAACUCGACUGCAUGAAGUUGGAAUCGCUAGUAAUCGCGGAUCAGCAUGUCGCGGUGAAUACGUUCCCGGGCCUUGUA